Molecule: ribosomal RNA, 253 nt
Filed under: uncultured bacterium
Lineage: Bacteria
Description: partial 16S ribosomal RNA
Rfam family: Bacterial small subunit ribosomal RNA
Source: RNAcentral
UACGGAGGGUGCAAGCAUUAAUCGGAAUUAUUGGGCGUAAAGGGCGCGUAGGCGGGGAUAAAAGUCAGAUGUGAAAGCCCGGGGCUCAACCCCGGAAUGGCAUUUGAACCUUUAUUUCUAGAGGGUAGGCGGAGAAAACGGAAUUCCACAAGUAGCGGUGAAAUGCGUAGAUAUGUGGAAGAACACCUGUGGCGAAAGCGGUUUUCUAGCUUAUACCUGACGCUGAGGCGCGAAAGCAAGGGGAGCAAACAGG